RNAcentral lists this long non-coding RNA (1145 nucleotides) under Homo sapiens (human). RNAcentral's name for it is "HSALNT0014946". Lineage: Eukaryota; Metazoa; Chordata; Mammalia; Primates; Hominidae. The record is from RNAcentral.
CUGAGGUCGGGAAUUUGGGACCAGCCUGACCAACAUGGAGAAACCUCGUCUCUACUAAAAACACCAAAAAUUAGCCAGGCGUGGUGGUGCAUGCCUAUAAUCUCAGCUACUUGGGAGGCUGAGGCAGGAGAAUCACUUGAACCCAGGAGGCGGAGGCUGUGGUGAACCAAGAUUGCUCCACUGCACUCCAGCCUGGGCAACAAGAGCGAAACUCCGUCUCAGGAAAAAAAAAAAAAAAAUGGAUGGAGCAGAUAUAUUUAAAGCUCUUCAAAUGUGUCUUAUAUCCUUUUUUUUUUUGAGACAGAGUUUCACCCUGUUGUCCAGGAUAGAGUGCAGUGGUCAUGAUCAUAGCUGACUGCAGCACAGACCCUCCUGGGCUCAAGUGAUUCUCUCACAUCAGCCUCCUGGGUAGCCAGGACUACAGGCACAAGCCACCAUGCCCAGCUACUUUUUUUUUUUUUUUAAUCUUUGUAGAAACGAGGUCUCACCAUAUUGCCCAAGCUGGUCUUUAACUCCUGGGCUCAAGCAAUCCUUCAGCCCUCAGCCUCCCAAAGUGCUGGAAUAACAGGUGUCAGCCACCGAGCCCAGCCUUAUAUGCUAUAUUUACUAUUAUCUCACCUACCAACUAAUAAUCCUUGCUCUAUCACAAUGAGAUCUUUAGGAAAUGUAAACACCUAUAAUACGUAGCAAAAGAAUGUAAUUAAGGAAAAUAAUGCUAAAAACAGGCAACAAUGUGUAACAGAGCAAAAAGAAUUCUAGACUUUGCUUUUGUAGAUUGUGUCCCUGGUUAUCCUACAUUAACCCCAAAAGCUAAAAACAGCCUAUAUAUAUGAUACAUCACUUACAAAUGCAGGAGCUUGGCCAGGUGCAGUGGCUCACGCCUGUAAUCCCAGCACUUUGGGAGGCUAAGGUGGGCGGAUCACCUGAGGUCAGGAGUUCGAGACCAGCCUGGCCAACAUGGCAAAACCCUGUCUCUAUCAAAAAUACAAAAAGCAGAUGGGCAUGGUGGCACACACCUGUAGUCCCAGCUACUUGAGGGGCUGAGAUUCAAGGAGAAUUCAAGGAGAAUCUCUUGAACCCGGGAGGUGGAGGUUGCAGUGAGCUGAGAUCGUGCCACUGCACUCCAGCCUGGGUGACAGAGCGAG